Long non-coding RNA from Spea bombifrons (plains spadefoot toad), 236 nucleotides. RefSeq lists it as uncharacterized. The transcript is spliced from 3 exons. The record is from RefSeq and is a predicted model, not a curated record. Lineage: Eukaryota; Metazoa; Chordata; Amphibia; Anura; Pelobatidae.
GGACAGGCCGCCGGCGCCAGCAAAGGCCACUCCGUUAUUUGGUCAGAUCCCCGACAGUCAUUGCCGCCAGUAGGAACAGAACAAGCCUCCUGCAGAUACACAACCUCUUCCCAGGCAAUGAGGGGGUAAACAGCCUCAUAGGUCAUAAGAGCAGGUCACUGGAGGUCAUACGCUCCGCCACGGGGUCACUGGAGGUCAUACGCUCCGCCACGGGGUCACUGGAGGUUAUAUGCGCC